This 497-nucleotide ribosomal RNA is filed under the name uncultured bacterium. RNAcentral describes it as "partial 16S ribosomal RNA". It matches the Rfam family "Bacterial small subunit ribosomal RNA", at positions 28 to 507 of the family's 1533-position model. The record is from RNAcentral.
GAUGAACGCUGGCGGCGUGCCUAAUACAUGCAAGUCGAGCGAACAGACGAGGAGCUUGCUCCUCUGACGUUAGCGGCGGACGGGUGAGUAACACGUGGAUAACGUACCUAUAAGACUGGGAUAACUUCGGGAAACCGGAGCUAAUACCGGAUAAUAUAUUGAACCGCAUGGUUCAAUAGUAAAAGACGGUUUUGCUGUCACUUAUAGAUGGAUCCGCGCCGCAUUAGCUAGUUGGUAAGGUAACGGCUUACCAAGGCAACGAUGCGUAGCCGACCUGAGAGAGUGAUCGGCCACACUGGAGGUGAGACGCGGUCCAGGCUCCUACGGGAGGCAGCAGUAGCGAAUCUUACGCAAUGGGCGAAAGCAUGACGGAGCAACGCCGCGUGAGUGAUGAAGGUCUUCGGAUCGUAAAACUCUGUUAUUAGGGAAGAACAAAUGUGUAAGUAACUAUGCACGUCUUGACGGUACCUAAUCAGAAAGCCACGGCUAACUACGUG